UUUUAUGAACCAGAGACAUUUUAAUGCUCUAUACAAAACCAAAGCUACAUAUCAAGUAUCAGAACACAAAUGCUUAAAAAUUAAAUCACAUAUAUUUAUACUUUAGAAAUCACAUUACCUAAAAUGGACACAAUGAUCUCUGAAAUGCAGAUAGGCCUGGAGAUUCCAGAUUGCUUCAGUUCAUUUGGCUGUCAAUCUUCAGAGCAUUCUCACUAACCACCUGCAUCCUCACAUAGGCCCAACAGUCUUAUGCAACUGCCAGCUUGAACCCUUAGGUUCAGCAACAGUCCCACAUGCAGGGUGUUCAGGAGCAAGUUCAUGAAGCGGUCCAAGUUCACUGAAGUCCAGGGGGGUGAGUUCUCAGGGUCUGAAUGACAUAUCCAGGAGAGUUCAUCCAUCCACUAAGCCACAAGCCCAGUUCUGUGAGACAGGAUUAUUAAGGGAGGGUGAAUUACCAGGACAAACAGGCAGGACAUGAG
Molecule: long non-coding RNA, 479 nt
Filed under: Bos taurus (domestic cattle)
Lineage: Eukaryota; Metazoa; Chordata; Mammalia; Artiodactyla; Bovidae
Description: long non-coding RNA NONBTAT013569
Source: RNAcentral